AACGAAUGCUGGCGGCGUGCCUAACACAUGCAAGUCGUGGGAGAACGUUUUCUUCGGAAAACAAGUAAACCGGCGCACGGGUGAGUAACACGUGGGUAACCUGCCUCAAAGUCCGGGAUAACACAUCGAAAGGUGUGCUAAUACUGGAUAUCUCUGUCUAUCAUAGGGUAGAUAGAUAAAGAUGGCCUCUGCUUGCAAGCUAUCGCUUUGAGAUGGGCCCGCGGCCUAUCAGGUUGUUGGUAGGGUAACGGCCUACCAAGCCUACGACGGGUAGCUGGUCUGAGAGGAUGAUCAGUCACACUGGAACUGAGACACGGUCCAGACUCCUACGGGAGGCAGCAGUGGGGAAUAUUGGGCAAUGGGGGAAACCCUGACCCAGCGACGCCGCGUGGAGGAUGAAGGCUUUCGGGUCGUAAACUCCUGUCAGAGGGGAAGAAGGUUGCAAGGCCAAUACCCUUGUUAAUUUGACGGUACCCUCAGAGGAAGCACCGGCUAACUACGUGCCAGCAGCCGCGGUAAUACGUAGGGUGCAAGCAUUGUUCGGAAUCACUGGGCGUAAAGCGUGCGUAGGCGGCUUUGUAAGUCCAAUGUGAAAGCCCACGGCUCAACCGUGGAAUUGCAUUGGAUACUGCAAAGCUAGAGUGCGGGAGAGGCAAGCGGAAUUCCUGGUGAAGGGGUGAAAUCCGUAGAUAUCAGGAAGAACACCGGUGGCGAAGGCGGCUUGCUGGAACGCAACUGACGCUCAGGCACGAAAGCGUGGGGAGCAAACAGGAUUAGAUACCCUGGUAGUCCACGCCCUAAACGAUGGAUGCUUGGUGUUGGGAAGAUCUCUUCUCAGUGCCGUAAGCUAACGCGUUAAGCAUCCCGCCUGGGGAGUACGGCCGCAAGGCUAAAACUCAAAGGAAUUGACGG
RNAcentral lists this ribosomal RNA (912 nucleotides) under uncultured delta proteobacterium. Its description in RNAcentral is "bacterial SSU rRNA". It matches the Rfam family "Bacterial small subunit ribosomal RNA", at positions 28 to 916 of the family's 1533-position model. Lineage: Bacteria; Deltaproteobacteria. The record is from RNAcentral.